This 253-nucleotide ribosomal RNA is filed under the name uncultured bacterium. Its description in RNAcentral is "partial 16S ribosomal RNA". It matches the Rfam family "Bacterial small subunit ribosomal RNA", at positions 524 to 776 of the family's 1533-position model. The record is from RNAcentral.
UACGAAGGGGGCUAGCGUUGCUCGGAAUCACUGGGCGUAAAGCGCACGUAGGCGGAUCUUUAAGUCAGGGGUGAAAUCCUGGAGCUCAACUCCAGAACUGCCUUUGAUACUGGGGAUCUCGAGUCCGGAAGAGGUGAGUGGAACUCCGAGUGUAGAGGUGAAAUUCGUAGAUAUUCGGAAGAACACCGGUGGCGAAGGCGGCUCACUGGUCCGGUACUGACGCUGAGGUGCGAAAGCGUGGGGAGCAAACAGG